This 217-nucleotide ribosomal RNA is filed under the name uncultured bacterium. RNAcentral describes it as "partial 16S ribosomal RNA". It matches the Rfam family "Bacterial small subunit ribosomal RNA", at positions 1285 to 1500 of the family's 1533-position model. The record is from RNAcentral.
GUCUCAGUUCGGAUUGUAGUCUGCAACUCGACUACAUGAAGCUGGAAUCGCUAGUAAUCGCGGAUCAGAAUGCCGCGGUGAAUACGUUCCCGGGUCUUGUACACACCGCCCGUCACACCAUGGGAGUCAGUAACGCCCGAAGUCAGUGACCCAACCGUAAAGGAGGGAGCUGCCGAAGGCGGGACGGAUAACUGGGGUGAAGUCGUAACAAGGUAGC